Long non-coding RNA from Zingiber officinale, 717 nucleotides. RefSeq lists it as uncharacterized. NCBI's taxonomy places the organism in Eukaryota, Viridiplantae, Streptophyta, Magnoliopsida, Zingiberales, Zingiberaceae. The transcript has 4 exons. The record is from RefSeq and is a predicted model, not a curated record.
AUGAAAGAACUAGAAAAUCAACUUCCUGAAGACGAGGAUGAUCAAGUUGGUCAAAAUACAUAUCUGCUCAAAUCAUUGGACCAGAUAGACCAGGUCGAGUACGUAUGUUUGGUGAUGGUGUUAACCCAUCUGAUUUAUGGGGAGAAGUUCCAAGCCGUAGUACAUGCAAUCGGAUAGUGAUGGAGCAAAGGACAAAGUUAGAAAAAAUGGAUGAACAAGUUAGAAAGCAAGGCCAACACAUUGCAAUGUUAGAAUCAAAGAUUUGCAAUCAAUCAAACCAAAACCUUGGUUCAAAUUACAACAGUAUACAACACACAACAUUAUCAAGUAGUCCAUUACUUUCUGAUCCAGUUAGUUUAUCUCUAAGGGUUGGAUGCUCUGUCUCGAUAAAAAGUCUAUUUGAUUCGAUGAAAAUUGUGGCAAAAGGAGUUGUUCAUAGCAUGGAUCCAAAUACUGAAGUAGGAAGAUAGGCAUUGGGACCAAAUUGGUGUGAAAUACAAGUUCUAGUUGUCUUAGAACGGGAAGAGAGUUUGAUUAGGCCAUAUGAUCUUUUACAAAGGUUUGAGGAUUCACUUGGAGGAAUGAUAGCUUGGCCUUGCCAUCUGUUGGCAGUUAAUGAAGAAGACUUCUACUAGGUGCAUUUGGAGUUUAGUGGCACAAUAGUAAGGUGACAAGAAUAUUGGAUUUUGUUUAAGAUGUGAUGGUUGAAGAAUGAAG